GUGGGUAUAGCUCAGUGGCAUAGUGCAUGCUUAGCAUGCAAGAGGUCCGGGUUCAAUCCCCAGUACCUCUG
This 71-nucleotide transfer RNA is filed under the name Camelus ferus (Wild Bactrian camel). It matches the Rfam family "tRNA". Rfam says of the family: Transfer RNA (tRNA) molecules are approximately 80 nucleotides in length. Their secondary structure includes four short double-helical elements and three loops (D, anti-codon, and T loops). Lineage: Eukaryota; Metazoa; Chordata; Mammalia; Artiodactyla; Camelidae. The record is from Rfam by way of RNAcentral.